AUGACUUCGCUUCGCUGCCUUAUCGUCGUAGGCCUUUUCGGCCUGGCCCCAGUUUUGUGCGCCCAUAAGAAAAAUGGGGACGGAUUGACCUGUUCAGAACGAUGUCAGAAUAAAUAUGGGUACAUCGACGGUGAGGGAGGCGCUCGCAUUUUCAUCACGAUCGGGGCCAUCAAUGAUAACGGAGGCCGAGAGUUAUGCGAGUGCCGAGUCAGUGACGCCCUGCAGUUUCUAGUGGAAUCCAGAAAGCUUGAAGAGGUCCGAUACAAAUGGCUUUUAGCACAAACCCCGAGAAACGUCGUCUCAUGGCUGAAGACGCGUUUGGGCGUACAAGUCCAUUCCCCCGGUGCUGAAGAGCAGAACAAAUCCCCAAACACAGGCCCAGUCUCGAGCGGAAACGAGAAAAAUCCGGAACAUGUGCUCAGUGAAGAAAAGUGCCAAGACAAGUGCCGCAAGGAGGCCGGGUAUCGCUUCGUCGAGACGAAAGAUAAGGUGGUUCGGGCAUGGAUCACAGAGGGGUAUUAUAAUCAUACACUAACCGGGCCGAAACAAUGCGAGUGCAAGAGCAGCGCGGUUCUUAUGAAUUACCUGCAUCAAAAGGGAAUCAACACGCAUGAAUUCGAAUUACUCCGCGUAAAGAGAAAGUGGGAGAAAAUAAACAAAUGGCUGAAGAAGCAAGACCUAUCUUUAAUAGUCUUUGGAAAGGAAAGGACUGGUGGUGAUCCAGUUGAGAACGAAACGAGCUGUACAGAAAAAUGUCGGAAAUUGCAUGGAUACAUAGAUGAAGAGACACGAGGUUCCAUCAUUUUCCUCAUGAUCGGGGUCCUCAAUAAUAACAAAUUUAUUAUGGUACACGGAGAGAAACAAAGAGACCUAGUGGAUUGCGAGUGCCGAAUCAAUCCAAUCCUUAAGGAACUACUAAUAUCCAAGAGGCUAAACUUCACGGAAUUCAAAGAGAAGAACGACGAGUAUGAAGCCGACAAAUGGCUUCUCGAACAUAUGGGCAAACAAGUCCACUUCCUGGAGCCGAAAAAAUCCUCAAAAGGACUCUUCGGGAUCAAGCUUAAGGUGACCAAGGAGGAGUGUGAGGAGCAGUGCUUUGAAAAAGAGGGCUACGUCGAAUUAGGACCACGGCUUCAUUUAAAGGUCGCAAAGGGUCAUGUGGUGGUCUCAUGCAUGCGGUCGAAAUGCGAGUGCAAAAUCAACGAGGGGUUGAUUGCAUAUUUGGAUAAGAACAAUCGCGAUCCUCAACGCUUCCGGUUUGCGUACGAACAAGGGGACGCAGAAAAAUGGUUGCGUAAUCACAACAUUAAUAUUAAGUUCCCUGUUUCGAGUCGAAAUCGUAAAAAACAACCAACAUUUCCUUUUAAACAGAGGCAACAACAUCCUCCACCUCCGGCUGAACAGGAGCACGAAAGUGAGCAAUGCCGUCUAUCACCUUCAACUGAACCUUUAAGCCAUGAGGAGUGUACACUUAGAUGUCAGAAUUCUUAUGGGUACAUCACCGGAGGCGGCUCGGGCUCCAAAAUAUACGUCUCGACUGGGAUAAUCGUGACAAAAGACACAGUGAAUAAAAAGGGGAAAAAAACAGUGUGCGACUGCCGACCAAACAAAGAACUGGAACCGAUAUUAAAAAAAAAAGUUCACGAAACAUUCAAGGCGGCAUGGAUGAACAACGUCCAAGAUGUUGUAGAAGUGUUGCAUAAACACAAGGUCGAAGUCCAUUACAAGCAAAGUGAGUCCGAGGAAGCAAGAAAAGUUCCCAAAGACAAGAACCACUAAAAGCAACACCAAAAUGAAAGGUUAUGGAGCCAAUAUCAGUGGGGAAAUCAUCAAAUAUGUUGCCGGUUAAAUCCUGCAUGGUAAAUAAAUUCGAAAAGCCUGCAAUUCGUAUGACAAACAGACUUAAUUUACUGGAAUUCAUACACACCCCCCCCCCCUCUCUCCAAACAUAUAGAGAAAUAAUGGGCCACUUAACUUUGGGUGUUUAACUUAAUAUUCUGAAAGUACCAUAAUAGUAGAUUACGUGGUGAUUUUUUCCGUGUUUUUAGGAAUAAAAUCCCGGACAGGGCCGCUUCUUAGAAGUCCAAAGACUUGAAGGAAUUUAAUACGCGCCGGAAUGGCGGGAAAAUGAUGGCAGUGAUGUACUGCGCCGGUCAAAUCGCCAUCUCCUCUAUUUUUCCACUCAUGCUUGUUAAAAUGAAUCGUCUUUUCAAAGAAUUGUUGUUUGUUUACGACAGAUAACGCGAAUGAAACUUGAUUCUUUGGUUCUGCAGAUAUCGUUCCGAUUUUCCUAUUUUUUCCAUAAAUGAGGAGUACACAGACAUUUGACGAGGGCCGUUGAAACCUGCGCUCGCUUUUGAUUGGUGCCGGAUGACAUCAUUCGGUUCAGCGCAAAACCGGGGCGUUAUAAAUUUAUGAAAAAGUUGCGCUUUUUGAACUACGCUUUCUCAGUUUUCGCGUUUUGAAUGUGCGCAUCGUAUUCUACGCUUCAUUUGCCUUUGGAAAAAUGUAUUCGCAAGUCAAAAUUCGUUCAUGGUUUAGUGGCCCAUAGUUCUAGUGCGCUGAAGAAAUACUCCAUAUAUAUAUUCAGACGUUGACAAAAUCCUCCUGAUUGAAUAAAAUAUUUUCCGCAAACGUGUGUCUUUUUUUUCAUCAAUUUAAGUAUUCAUUGUAUCUAAAAAUUUCAAGGAAAAAUAUUCAUAACUUUUUUCGAGACUGAUCAUUCUAAGGAAAAAAAUGGGCAACAUUCUCAUUUUCAGACUCUAUUUUUCGAUAGCAGGACAGAGUUUUGAGGCGUACGAUUUAUAGUGCAGGGACAAAAAAGAAAAGAAAAAAACCGGAAUUGUGAGCAUUGCGAUUUAAAUUAAUAUAUAUUUUCAUUUUAUUUCAUUUUUUAGUUUCAAAUUUACAUGGACUGGUUUCUUUCGCUAGUACUGAGUCCGAUCACUUACAUACGAUACGUCCACAUAGGACUUGCUCUUUUAAAACUCAUUGCAUGAGGGUCAUUUGAAGUAUAUUUAGAUCACAUCGCAGCACCAAAUGACUUUUACGACCUUAAAAAAACUUACGAGUUAGGUCAACUUACAACUUACGUCACUUAGAAAGUUCGAGAGAUUCCAUUGAUGAUAAUUUUUUUUUUUUUUUUUUUUUUUAAAUUGAAAGUUUCAUACCAUACCGUGCCAAGUCAUGCCGAUACUCAUGAAAAUUUAACGGAAAAAUGAAUUUUUCUGCAUUGGAAUUCUCUCAUACCUAAUCCACUGUUUUCUCUAACACUUUUGGACAUAUUUUCUGACUUCCUCGUGUUAUUUUUUUGCCCAGUGUUGUCACCGUCAGAUAGAGGAGGCUCAUGUAAACUCUAAAUUUUCUCCGUGUAAUCAAAAUAUAAAAGAAUAAAAUAAUAAAAAAAUAAGGAAAUUAAAAAAAAUCAAGGGUGCAGGAAAUACAACAAUGCGUAAUCCUGGAUCCCUGGUUAUGGUGGAGGCGAAGUUGGUUUUAAAAGUUAUUUUAGUAGAGCCUGUUUUUUUCAUGAUUUAUUCUUCCCUAGAGAAACUGUUCAACAUAAUCACGUUUUUAUGUCAAAUUCCAGUUCUCGUUCAAAUAUUUUUGCUCAAUGCUUUUUGUGUGCGAAGAACCCAUUCACCGUAUGACACGAACCCUAUGUUAAUGUUAAGGGCAGAUCCCGAUUUUGGACAGAUCGCAAUCGGCCCGGGCGAAUCGCGAUCAGUCAAGCUAAAAUGGGCAGAUCGGGAACUGCCCGGGCAGAUCGCGAUUCGCCCGGGCCGAUUGCGAUCUGUCCAGGCAAAAUUGGGCAGAUUUGAUUUUGUGCUUGGCAGCAGUGGAAAAAUGACCGGCGGCCUCCAAGAGAUGCAUGCCGGCCUGCGUUGUCUGAUAACGAUAGCAGUGGAAAAGAUCUGCCCGCGGCUGCCAAAUGAAGGUACUGAUAACAGUCAAUAUUAGGAACUGUUGGUGAACUGAAAAUGUUGAAACUUAGCAACGCCAAGUUCAAAUCCCUUCAAGUAGGCUGUAAUUUUACGCAGUACAGUAUCCUGUCGUGGAUCGAGCCAAGGGCGACGCUCGAAAUGCAGUCGCGGUGAUUUUGGAGGUGACAAUGACAACAUGUAUAGGCUCGGCGCAGAAAAAGGAAAGCUCUCCGCGCUUUACGCGCGUAAUCCAGUCCGCGAGUGCAAACAGAAAUUCUUAACUCCGGCAGAUGUUCCCACAACUGCAGAAAUAAGUCUGCAAACCCUGAGUCGUAACAACUCACAUUUUGACGGACAGGGAUUCAAAAAAUGCAACCCUUGCGCCUGCAAAAAAAUGGCGUUCUCUGUAACUCCAAGUGCCAUAGCUCUUUGACCUACUGCAACAAGUAAAUACAGGUAAAAAAAGUGCCGUUUUCUUCAUUAGUUUCAGUCCAUGUGAAAUAAUUGAAUCUGCCCUUAUGAGAUCUGCUCGUAUGAAAAGUGGGCCGAUCCCGAUCUGCCCAAUUUUUCUGGGCACAUCGGGAUCUGCCCAGAAAUCGGGAUGCCCGUAACAUAUACAUUGCUUAAUGAUAUAAUAUCACGUCAGAACAUCUGAUAUUCUAGCUCUAGAUUAGUUGUCUAUCACUGGCAUGGCGAUUCAUUCCGUGCUGUACUGUCGACAGGUACUGAUGUUGCCACAUCUUAAAUAGUAAUUACAUCAUUUCCUAGUGAUAAUAAAUAAACAAGAAGAAACAUCCAACAUGAAUAUGUUGGAAAAGCGUGCCGAAUAAUUGAAAUCUAGUGUGUGCACUAUUUCCAUUUCAACGAGAUGUGUAUAAAUUAGUACUCUCUGCAAAUUGGGGAGGAAUUAUUGAUUUGAUACCGUUGAAUGUAAAUACAUUUUAUUGAAAAUACAUUUUAUUGAAUAAAGAAAGUAACAUAAUUAUAUUGGAUGAACAAAGAAAAUAACAUCAUAAAUCAUUUAACUGAAUUAGUUCAUUCAGAAUUUCAAAUUAAAGUUUGGAAAUUGUUCAGUUUGUUGCGUCAUGUUGGAGAUUGCUCAGUUUGCAGCAGCAGAGUAUGGAGUUUACUCUGUUUAAUGAGUCAAACUUUGUCUUUUCUCUUUUCUUCGAUUGAUUUGUAUUAAAAUGAGACUUUAAGGUAUCUUUUCUGGAAAUAAAAAAAAAAAAACGUGACAAAAAAAAAAAAAAAAAAAAAAAAAAAAAAUGCAACUUACACUCAGAGAAUCAACAAGGGAACCUAACCUCCAAAACUCUGCCUUCCAAUUGGUCGAAUUGGAGAUUGCUCACUUCGCUGCAGUUGUAACUAUGGAGAUGCAGCCAACUUGGGUUAACCGCUUUUGAAAAGACGCUGAUUCGCUAAAUAGUUAUGGCGGCAUUUAAACUUCUAAUUUAAAUCCUCCGAGCGUAGAAAAGCUUAUUUGACGUACCUAUGAAAGAAAAUAAUACGGUUUCCACGGGAAAAUGUUCUCAAGGGUUUCCAGUAACAGGAUAAUUCGGUUUCUCGAUGAAUGACCUUCAGGGCUUGACACUAUAACGGUUCAAAAACGGAAGAACGGAUCCGACGGAAAAAAAAUUCGGACCGCCCCUUGAAAAGCAUUGGUCGAUCGGUGUGCUGUACUACAGUACAUCCGAGUGAUUUCAAAAAGCGAGCCCUAUAGGCACGCUUAAAAGGUUCGUGCGGUGAACGCUCUCCACGCGACGUCCGUACAUUGGAAGCAACUUCUUGCAAAAAUUUAAGUUCAUUAAAAAAUUGUGUACUUAGUUUCAGUCGGCGUCAGUGUCGUGGCGUGCUGUGCGAUUUAUCAAAUAAUCUGCCAUUUAAACCUAUGGAAAAGGAUCGAUAAACCGGAUGUCCGCAAUGAACACCAUAAUAAUCGAUCCUUUACCACAGCUUCAAAUGGGAAAACAUCGAUAAUCGAUCAUUCACGCCUCGCCAUUGGGUGCGGCGUGUACUCGUACAUUUCCCCUUUUAGAGAAAUAAUUCUGCAAUGAAAAACAAUAAUUGAAUUCGAGGUCAGUGCGUACC
Molecule: long non-coding RNA, 6008 nt
Filed under: Bemisia tabaci
Lineage: Eukaryota; Metazoa; Arthropoda; Insecta; Hemiptera; Aleyrodidae
Description: lncRNA ENSSSA1UGG012890
Source: RNAcentral